AUGGGCUGGUUGAGACAGGCUCCAUGGAAAGGACUUGAAUGGGAGGCUGACACAAACUCUGGUUCCAGAGUUCGAUCUGAGGUCCAAUUAGUGGAGUCUGGAGGGGAUGUGAGAAGACCUGGAGAAUCCCUCCGUCUCUCCUGUCAAGCCUCUGGAUUCUCCUUCAGAGGUGAUUGGAUGCACUGGGUGAGACAGGCUCCUGGGAAAGGACUGGAAUGGGUGGCCAUCAUACAUACAGGAUCAUCUCCUUCCACUUACUACCCAGACAAAGUCAAGGGAUGUUUCACCAUCUCCAGGGAUGAUUCUCGCAGCCAGCUGUAUCUGCAAAUGAACAGCCUCAAACUGGAGGAUUCCGCAGUUUAUUACUGUGCGAGAGACACAGAGAGAGGAAGUGAAUCGGAUGCCAAGCAAAAACUAUUUUUUUUCCUCUGA
Molecule: non-coding RNA, 432 nt
Organism: Thamnophis sirtalis
Lineage: Eukaryota; Metazoa; Chordata; Lepidosauria; Squamata; Natricidae
Source: the annotation of a RefSeq genome assembly